Oncorhynchus nerka (sockeye salmon) is the source of this 1253-nucleotide long non-coding RNA. RefSeq lists it as uncharacterized. The record is from RefSeq and is a predicted model, not a curated record. Lineage: Eukaryota; Metazoa; Chordata; Actinopteri; Salmoniformes; Salmonidae. The transcript is spliced from 3 exons.
CAUCAGAGUUCAAAAUAUACCAUCAGCUAUUUGUAACUAUACUUCGACUACUGCAGCAAACUUGUGGCUACUUUUCUAACUAAAAGGAAUGUAAUUUAUAGAUAUUUAUCUGAUCACAAAGGAAACUAAACAUACCAAAAUGAUUUGUAUAUCAUGACACAGUUAGUAGUAGAACCUGAAAAAUCAGUUAAAGAAAAUAGUAGGGCUGUCAAAGUUAACAUGUUUCUCGGCACAAAAAAAAAGUAUAACGUUAAUCGAGUCUCUAUUUCUUCAAGGCACGGAACUUUUUAAGCGCACAUGCUUCCGUACGGACUUUUUUUAUGACCAGAACACAACACGGAACACAGCUAUAAUCAACGCUUGCGCUUUUACAGCGCUGAAGACCGUGUGGCUAGCUAGCAGAUUACUUGACCACUGACUAGACUAUGCACAAAUGUGUAUGGCACAGGUUAGAACUGAAAAGGAAUAGGCUACUCAAAUACAUUUUUGAAAAGCUAUUUCAUUGGAGGGCACCAGGACCCAGGUCAAACCAACACUGCCUCUUUCCCCAGGCAGGCAGGCCAGGUGGGAAGCUAUAUAACAGACCGGAAAGAGUUCAAGACUACCGUGGGUCCCCAUAACACGAAGGAGUCUGAACCUCGUGUUGCAAUAAGAAAAAACAACAGUCUGACUACUGUUUGUACAGUACACAUCUGAUGAAGUGAACCCAUAAACUAGUUUCUACUGUUCAGCGGGACGCUCAGACUGAUCCAGCUACUGUAGAUGAACAACAGCAGGCCAGCCAGGAGGUGGACGUGCAAAGGAUGUUUUCCACACCCGUGCAAACAAUAACACACGGACCAGACUACUCAUUCACUUCAACAAGACUGAUACAGCCAGCUAUUGAUGUUUAACUGCAGGUCAAAUCAAAUGUUAUUGUAGGUGCUGUCACGUUCUGACCUUAGUUCUUUUGUUAUGUCUUUGUUUUUGUACGGUCAGGGUGUGAGUUGGGUGGGUUGUCUAUGUUAGUUUUUCUAUGAUUUGCUAUUUCUGUGUUUGGCCUGGUAUGGUUCUCAAUCAGAGGCAGCUGUCUAUCGUUGUCCCUGAUCGAGAACCAUAUUUAGGUAGCCGGUUUUCUAUUGUGUUUCGUGGGUGAUUAUUUUCCGUGUUAGUGUUUGUACCACACGGGACUGUUUCGUUGGUUUCACUUUGUUAUUUUGUAUGUUGUAGUGUUCAGUUUUACUUAUUAAAAUGGACAAUUACCACCCUGCAAA